AGUGAACGCUGGCGGUAGGCCUAACACAUGCAAGUCGAACGGCAGCACAGGAGAGCUUGCUCUCUGGGUGGCGAGUGGCGGACGGGUGAGGAAUACAUCGGAAUCUACUUUUUCGUGGGGGAUAACGUAGGGAAACUUACGCUAAUGCCGCAUACGACCUACGGGUGAAAGCAGGGGACCUUCGGGCCUUGCGCGAUUGAAUGAGCCGAUGUCGGAUUAGCUAGUUGGCGGGGUAAAGGCCCACCAAGGCGACGAUCCGUAGCUGGUCUGGGAGGAUGAUCAGCCACACUGGAACUGGGACACGGUCCAGACUCCUACGGGAGGCAGCAGUGGGGAAUAUUGGACAAUGGGCGCAAGCCUGAUCCAGCCAUACCGCGUGGGUGAAGAAGGCCUUCGGGUUGUAAAGCCCUUUUGUUGGGAAAGAAAUCCAGCUGGCUAAUACCCGGUUGGGAUGACGGUACCCAAAGAAUAAGCACCGGCUAACUUCGUGCCAGCAGCCGCCGUAA
This 506-nucleotide ribosomal RNA is filed under the name uncultured bacterium. RNAcentral describes it as "partial 16S ribosomal RNA". It matches the Rfam family "Bacterial small subunit ribosomal RNA", at positions 29 to 523 of the family's 1533-position model. The record is from RNAcentral.